RNAcentral lists this unclassified non-coding RNA (286 nucleotides) under uncultured bacterium. Its description in RNAcentral is "contains 16S-23S intergenic spacer region". The record is from RNAcentral.
CCUCCGAUUAGGGAAUCGUUCCCUUCUCCAGCCAGGAGGACGUCCGCCCCGUUCCUCCGUGAAGGACAUCAUUUCCUGCUUCUCCGUGAAGUUGAUCGUCUCCUUCCGCCGUAAAGAGGGUCCAAUAAAGUGGAUCACUGGUCGAGAGCCGGCCGGUGAUAUAAUCGCCAAAGAGAAAAUCGUUUUCAGUCCCACCAUUGAGAAAAUCGUUCCCCUCACCGCCCGUCAAGACAUCCUCACCUGUCCCUCCGAACAGCAGAUCCUCGCCGCCUGCCGCCCGAUACUC